UACGUAGGGUGCAAGCGUUGUCCGGAAUUAUUGGGCGUAAAGAGCUUGUAGGCGGUUUGUCGCGUCUGCUGUGAAAUUUCGGGGCUCAACCCCGAACUUGCAGUGGGUACGGGCAGACUAGAGUGUGGUAGGGGAGAUUGGAAUUCCUGGUGUAGCGGUGGAAUGCGCAGAUAUCAGGAGGAACACCGAUGGCGAAGGCAGAUCUCUGGGCCAUUACUGACGCUGAGGAGCGAAAGCGUGGGGAGCGAACAGG
Molecule: ribosomal RNA, 253 nt
Filed under: uncultured bacterium
Lineage: Bacteria
Description: partial 16S ribosomal RNA
Rfam family: Bacterial small subunit ribosomal RNA
Source: RNAcentral